GGGUCUGUGGUGAAGUGGCAUCACGUGGGUCUCCAAAACCCGAGUCGGGGGUUCGAUUCCCUCCAGACCUGCCA
This 74-nucleotide transfer RNA is filed under the name Candidatus Berkelbacteria bacterium CG06_land_8_20_14_3_00_43_10. RNAcentral describes it as "tRNA-Trp". It matches the Rfam family "tRNA". From Rfam's summary of the family: Transfer RNA (tRNA) molecules are approximately 80 nucleotides in length. Their secondary structure includes four short double-helical elements and three loops (D, anti-codon, and T loops). Further hydrogen bonds mediate the characteristic L-shaped molecular structure. tRNAs have two regions of fundamental functional importance: the anti-codon, which is responsible for specific mRNA codon recognition, and the 3' end, to which the tRNAs corresponding amino acid is attached (by aminoacyl-tRNA synthetases). tRNAs cope with the degeneracy of the genetic code in two manners: having more than one tRNA (with a specific anti-codon) for a particular amino acid; and 'wobble' base-pairing, i.e. permitting non-standard base-pairing at the 3rd anti-codon position. RNAcentral also lists the same sequence under 1 other name. The record is from RNAcentral. Lineage: Bacteria; Candidatus Berkelbacteria.